AGCGAACGCUGGCGGCAGGCCUAACACAUGCAAGUCGAACGUACUCUUCGGAGUUAGUGGCGGACGGGUGAGUAACACGUGGGAACGUGCCUUUUGGUUCGGAAUAACUCAGGGAAACUUGUGCUAAUACCGAAUGUGCCCUUCGGGGGAAAGAUUUAUCGCCAUUAGAGCGGCCCGCGUCUGAUUAGCUAGUUGGUGAGGUAACGGCUCACCAAGGCGACGAUCAGUAGCUGGUCUGAGAGGAUGACCAGCCACACUGGGACUGAGACACGGCCCAGACUCCUACGGGAGGCAGCAGUGGGGAAUCUUGCGCAAUGGGCGAAAGCCUGACGCAGCCAUGCCGCGUGAAUGAUGAAGGUCUUAGGAUUGUAAAAUUCUUUCACCGGGGACGAUAAUGACGGUACCCGGAGAAGAAGCCCCGGCUAACUUCGUG
Molecule: ribosomal RNA, 433 nt
Filed under: uncultured bacterium
Lineage: Bacteria
Description: partial 16S ribosomal RNA
Rfam family: Bacterial small subunit ribosomal RNA
Source: RNAcentral